RNAcentral lists this small RNA (26 nucleotides) under Bombyx mori (domestic silkworm). RNAcentral describes it as "ovarian small RNA-15603". The record is from RNAcentral. Lineage: Eukaryota; Metazoa; Arthropoda; Insecta; Lepidoptera; Bombycidae.
GACUAUGCUGCAAAAUGGUACUUGUC